This 252-nucleotide ribosomal RNA is filed under the name uncultured bacterium. RNAcentral describes it as "partial 16S ribosomal RNA". It matches the Rfam family "Bacterial small subunit ribosomal RNA", at positions 524 to 776 of the family's 1533-position model. The record is from RNAcentral.
UACGGGGGGGCAAGCGUUGUUCGGAAUUACUGGGCGUAAAGGGCUCGUAGGCGGCCAACUAAGUCCGACGUGAAAUCCCAAGGCUUAACCUUGGAACUGCGUCGGAUACUGGAUGGCUUGAAUUCGGGAGAGGGAUGCAGAAUUCCAGGUGUAGCGGUGAAAUGCGUAGAUAUCUGGAGGAAUACCGGUGGCGAAGGCGGCAUCCUGGACCGACAUUGACGCUGAGGAGCGAAAGCUAGGGGAGCAAACAGG